Molecule: long non-coding RNA, 109 nt
Organism: Aquila chrysaetos chrysaetos
Lineage: Eukaryota; Metazoa; Chordata; Aves; Accipitriformes; Accipitridae
Exons: 3
Source: RefSeq, a predicted model, not a curated record
UGCUCACAGAUGUGAGAUUUGAAUAUGAGUCAACAGUGUGCUCUGGCAACCAAAAGGGCCAACCGUGGCCUGGGGUGCAUCAAGCACAGCGUAGCUAGCUGGCCAAGGG